This 64-nucleotide microRNA precursor is filed under the name Vicugna pacos (alpaca). RNAcentral's name for it is "miRNA (ENSVPAG00000016110.1)". Lineage: Eukaryota; Metazoa; Chordata; Mammalia; Artiodactyla; Camelidae. The record is from RNAcentral.
CCAGGGCAGCCGUGGGCAGCGGCAGCAGCAGCCAGAGGAGGGCCCCAGGCUGGCCUCAGCCUUU